CGGGAGCUUAUUACUGCAAUAUAUUGCACGGUAUAUAUAGUAUACAUGCAGCUAACUCGGAAAAGGUUGUCCUUCAAAAAUCUCAAACCUUAAACUGUAAGCGCGCAAAGUGUGAGGAGCAACUUCUUUUUACGGCUUUUGAUUGCAUGGGCAAAUAAUCCUAGUACAAUGCUAGUUGUAUAUUAUAGUGCUUUUUAUAUGUCUUGCCAUACAGUAGUUGCAAUGCAAAAUUCGCUAGUAAAAAGCCCAAAGUAUAUUGUCUG
Paramuricea clavata is the source of this 263-nucleotide non-coding RNA. Lineage: Eukaryota; Metazoa; Cnidaria; Anthozoa; Malacalcyonacea; Plexauridae. The record is from the annotation of a GenBank genome assembly.